GCUGGCUUACUCAAGUGGUUAAGAGGUACGUCUGAUACGCGUAUAGUUUCAUUGGUUCAAAUCCAAUAGCCAGUA
RNAcentral lists this transfer RNA (75 nucleotides) under Lachnospiraceae bacterium. RNAcentral describes it as "tRNA-Ile". It matches the Rfam family "tRNA". Rfam says of the family: Transfer RNA (tRNA) molecules are approximately 80 nucleotides in length. Their secondary structure includes four short double-helical elements and three loops (D, anti-codon, and T loops). Further hydrogen bonds mediate the characteristic L-shaped molecular structure. tRNAs have two regions of fundamental functional importance: the anti-codon, which is responsible for specific mRNA codon recognition, and the 3' end, to which the tRNAs corresponding amino acid is attached (by aminoacyl-tRNA synthetases). tRNAs cope with the degeneracy of the genetic code in two manners: having more than one tRNA (with a specific anti-codon) for a particular amino acid; and 'wobble' base-pairing, i.e. permitting non-standard base-pairing at the 3rd anti-codon position. Lineage: Bacteria; Bacillati; Bacillota; Clostridia; Lachnospirales; Lachnospiraceae. The record is from RNAcentral.